GAUGAACGCUGGCGGCGUGCCUAAUACAUGCAAGUCGAGCGAACGGACGAGAAGCUUGCUUCUCUGAUGUUAGCGGCGGACGGGUGAGUAACACGUGGAUAACCUACCUAUAAGACUGGGAUAACUUCGGGAAACCGGAGCUAAUACCGGAUAAUAUUUUGAACCGCAUGGUUCAAAAGUGAAAGACGGUCUUGCUGUCACUUAUAGAUGGAUCCGCGCUGCAUUAGCUAGUUGGUAAGGUAACGGCUUACCAAGGCAACGAUGCAUAGCCGACCUGAGAGGGUGAUCGGCCACACUGGAACUGAGACACGGUCCAGACUCCUACGGGAGGCAGCAGUAGGGAAUCUUCCGCAAUGGGCGAAAGCCUGACGGAGCAACGCCGCGUGAGUGAUGAAGGUCUUCGGAUCGUAAAACUCUGUUAUUAGGGAAGAACAUAUGUGUAAGUAACUGUGCACAUCUUGACGGUACCUAACCAGAAAGCCACGGCUAACUACGUGCCAGCAGCCGCGGUAAUACGUAGGUGGCAAGCGUUAUCCGGAGUUAUUGGGCGUAAAGCGCGCGUAGGCGGUUUUUUAAGUCUGAUGUGAAAGCCCACGGCUCAACCGUGGAGGGUCAUUGGAAACUGGAAAACUUGAGUGCAGAAGAGGAAAGUGGAAUUCCAUGUGUAGCGGUGAAAUGCGCAGAGAUAUGGAGGAACACCAGUGGCGAAGGCGACUUUCUGGUCUGUAACUGACGCUGAUGUGCGAAAGCGUGGGGAUCGAACAGGAUUAGAUACCCUGGUAGUCCACGCCGUAAACGAUGAGUGCUAAGUGUUAGGGGGUUUCCGCCCCUUAGUGCUGCAGCUAACGCAUUAAGCACUCCGCCUGGGGAGUACGACCGCAAGGUUGAAACUCAAAGGAAUUGACGGGGACCCGCACAAGCGGUGGAGCAUGUGGUUUAAUUCGAAGCAACGCGAAGAACCUUACCAAAUCUUGACAUCCUUUGACAACUCUAGAGAUAGAGCCUUCCCCUUCGGGGGACAAAGUGACAGGUGGUGCAUGGUUGUCGUCAGCUCGUGUCGUGAGAUGUUGGGUUAAGUCCCGCAACGAGCGCAACCCUUAAGCUUAGUUGCCAUCAUUAAGUUGGGCACUCUAAGUUGACUGCCGGUGACAAACCGGAGGAAGGUGGGGAUGACGUCAAAUCAUCAUGCCCCUUAUGAUUUGGGCUACACACGUGCUACAAUGGACAAUACAAAGGGCAGCGAAACCGCGAGGUCAAGCAAAUCCCAUAAAGUUGUUCUCAGUUCGGAUUGUAGUCUGCAACUCGACUACAUGAAGCUGGAAUCGCUAGUAAUCGUAGAUCAGCAUGCUACGGUGAAUACGUUCCCGGGUCU
RNAcentral lists this ribosomal RNA (1372 nucleotides) under uncultured bacterium. Its description in RNAcentral is "bacterial SSU rRNA". It matches the Rfam family "Bacterial small subunit ribosomal RNA", at positions 28 to 1381 of the family's 1533-position model. The record is from RNAcentral.